Molecule: long non-coding RNA, 329 nt
Filed under: Lathyrus oleraceus (garden pea)
Lineage: Eukaryota; Viridiplantae; Streptophyta; Magnoliopsida; Fabales; Fabaceae
Description: Pisum sativum (pea) long non-coding RNA (PSAT_LNC033427)
Source: RNAcentral
ACAAUCUUCGAUCAGACAGUAAAAUAAAGGCGAAGGAAUAAAAUACUAUGAUCUAACGUAAGGUUAGAUCUAGUUAAAGUUACACAAUAGUUUCCGGUGUAGAAACUAUUGUGAGAAAAUUAAUUGAAUGCCUAAAAAAUUAAACUAACAAAGGAAAUAAAUUGCUGAAGAAAAAUAUGGAAUGCUGAAAAAAAUAUAAUGUUGUAAAAAUAAUGGCAACAGAAACAAGGUUGCUAAAAAAGAAAAAAAUGCUAAAAGCUAGAAAGCUGAAAACUAAAUUGCAGAGCGUAAAAAAAUGUAAAAGUAGGCCGUCCCCAAUUUUUCCCAUU